This 790-nucleotide long non-coding RNA is filed under the name Pan troglodytes (chimpanzee). RNAcentral describes it as "long non-coding RNA NONPTRT014920". Lineage: Eukaryota; Metazoa; Chordata; Mammalia; Primates; Hominidae. The record is from RNAcentral.
GAGGAGCCGUGCGUAGGGUCAGAGAGGAGCCGUGCGUGGGCUAGCUUUGUUACCCGGAGAGUAGCCACAGUUUUAGCUCACAGUGAUGUCAACUUGAAGCUUCUCUCCACAAGCAGCUGUGACCUCAGCUGCCGUGCAGUCAGCUUCCCCGGCCUCCCUCCCCAGCCAACCUGGUCUCCCAGGCACAAGGCUGGACGCUGGCUUCAGAGUGGCUGCAAGGGCACGGCCCCCAGGCCUAGGGCUGAUCAGCGUGAACAGUACCCAGCACACUUGCUUCAAAAAGUAAGAAGAAAUAGAACACAAGCUGCUUGUUUUCAUGACUAUAGCACAAACUAUAAAACAAAACAUCUUCCUCCAGAACACGGCAAGCUGGAUGGAUAGUGAUCUGGACAAAAAUUUGCUGUAGGUUUUGUAACUGGGGUUCAGUGAGUACCAGGCUCCCCAGAGCAUACAUGUGGAGACAGUUAAGUUGAUCCCAUUUUCCAAGAUUCAGAGGAGAUGUAUUUAUAUUAGGAAUAUAAACUUGCUAUUAAUGCAACUUCAGAAUGUCCAGGUCAUCCGUUGGGAAAAAAAAAAGAGUAAGUCUAGGGCUGGUUCGUGCUGUUGCUACAUGGAGGGAAUCCACAUCCAAGCCUGCCGCUCACAUGCUGGGACACAUUGCCUCAGCCUCCGUCUCCGGGAGUCCCACGCUUUCUCUCCUGGGUUGUCCCACUAUUCCUUUUCAAGUCCUCAUGUUAGUGACAGUUCAAUUUUCUCUUCACCUUCAAAAUUGCAGAGAACCUAAUUUCUA